AAGAACUGGGAAAAGCUGAACAGAAUCAUUAACAGGGAUUUUUUUUAAAAGAAAAAAAAGUGCAUCUGCAAGACGAGGCUUUUAAAAACUGACAAAGAAUCAUGGUUACUUAAGAUAAUAAUAAUGAGAAGGCAUUAAAGAACCAGGGUUACUCUUUAAAUGAGUAAGGUAAGCCAAUACUACAAUCUAGAGAGUCAGAUUUUACAGCUGCAAGAUGAGGAUUAGCACACAAAUUGAACUUUUAGAAUAAUCCAUAUAACUUGAUCAGGUGCAGAAGUAUUCGUAUUUAAUAAGAUUCAUCUUCAUAAUGUCGAUGAACAAAUGUACAAAGUCCAACUAAACCAUGACAGGGAUUACUUUGAUCCAAGUCCAAAUGCCAAUAUCAGUAUGCUACAAAAUUUGUUGGGAAAAUCAUCCAGAUGUAUCAUGCCAAAUGAUUUACGGUUUUAGAAUUGGCAGUUUUUCACAACUUGCAUAAGUACAUGAGUGCAGGCAGUAAGAAUCAAGAUUUCUAGACUUCUAGGAGAUGAGAAGACAUUGAAUUAAAUGUUUCAACCAGUUUAUUUGUGAGAACAAGGCAAUGGCUAACUCUCUAUGUAGUCCAAUGUAUGUUAACUAAGUAACCUAAUUUUAAGACCUUAAAGCUGCAGUACAAAUAUAUGGUAGCUUACCGCUAUAGCGACCCAUUAACUUCACAAGACCAAUACCAUUCUCGAUACUCUCAGCUUCAACAUGUGCUGCAUUAAUAGCACGUUGAGCUUCCUCAACAGCAGUGUCAAAACCAAAGGACUUGUCAAUAACCUGUGAUGUAUAAAAAUAAUACACAAUUGAGAAGGUCUUAUUAUACAUUAUAAAGCAUGUGAGGCAAUAAUAG
Molecule: long non-coding RNA, 874 nt
Filed under: Manihot esculenta (cassava)
Lineage: Eukaryota; Viridiplantae; Streptophyta; Magnoliopsida; Malpighiales; Euphorbiaceae
Description: long non-coding RNA (MESC_LNC009930)
Source: RNAcentral